CGCCGUACGUACGAGAGAGUGCAGCUAGCCUACCUAGCGUUAGCCUUAGCCAUGAGAGCAUACACAGCCCUCGAUGCAUGUGAGACCACAAGAAAGAUCUAUCUCCAUAUUCUCCAGCCAUCAUGCAUGUGGCCAUAUGUACAGGCGUUAGCUUUGCCUUUUGUUAGCUAGCUCGACCAGUAUAUAUAUAGUAGUAGUAACCUCGUGCAGCUGAAUAGCUGAUAGCUAGCUAGCGUCUUAAUAUGCAUAUAUGCAUGGUGUGUGUGUGCAUGUACUAGCAGCUAUAGAUCAAGAUAGGUGUGAUUGAGAGAGAUAGGUGUUUGGAAUGCAGUUUGAUCCAAGAUCUGCCUAUAUAUAUGGUGUGUAUAUCAUAUCUUGUGAUAUGGGGGAUAUGCAACAAGUGUGUGACAGGGGUGGGUAGAUCUCGGAUCAGGCUUCAUUCCUCACACCAAUACUCUCUGUUGAUGGACAAGUAAGGUAUGCACCAGGUAUGAAAGUGAAACCAGCCCUUGGGUAGCCCAUGCCAUGGUUUGAGGCAUGGGAUUCAAUCUUUAGUAUAAGAUCUACUUUGCUAUUGUGUAAUUGAAAUUCCUUGUCUAAGUUAUAAUAGGUCG
Molecule: precursor RNA, 614 nt
Filed under: Oryza sativa Indica Group (long-grained rice)
Lineage: Eukaryota; Viridiplantae; Streptophyta; Magnoliopsida; Poales; Poaceae
Description: putative precursor microRNA R166i
Rfam family: mir-166 microRNA precursor family (bases 316-450)
Source: RNAcentral